ACAUGACUCUCGGCAACGGAUAUCUCGGCUCUCGCAUCGAUGAAGAACGUAGCGAAAUGCGAUACGUGGUGUGAAUUGCAGAAUCCCGUGAACCAUCGAGUCUUUGAACGCAAGUUGCGCCCGAGGGACCCUCCCGAGGGCAUGCCUGCCUCAUGGGCGUUAGAA
Molecule: ribosomal RNA, 165 nt
Filed under: Rhynchospora sanariapensis
Lineage: Eukaryota; Viridiplantae; Streptophyta; Magnoliopsida; Poales; Cyperaceae
Description: 5.8S ribosomal RNA
Rfam family: 5.8S ribosomal RNA
About the family: 5.8S ribosomal RNA (5.8S rRNA) is a component of the large subunit of the eukaryotic ribosome.
Source: RNAcentral